RNAcentral lists this ribosomal RNA (507 nucleotides) under Cellulomonas hominis. RNAcentral's name for it is "bacterial SSU rRNA". It matches the Rfam family "Bacterial small subunit ribosomal RNA", at positions 373 to 888 of the family's 1533-position model. The record is from RNAcentral. Lineage: Bacteria; Bacillati; Actinomycetota; Actinomycetes; Micrococcales; Cellulomonadaceae.
GGGCGCAAGCCUGAUGCAGCGACGCCGCGUGAGGGAUGAAGGCCUUCGGGUUGUAAACCUCUUUCAGCAGGGAAGAAGCGCAAGUGACGGUACCUGCAGAAGAAGCGCCGGCUAACUACGUGCCAGCAGCCGCGGUAAUACGUAGGGCGCAAGCGUUGUCCGGAAUUAUUGGGCGUAAAGAGCUCGUAGGCGGUUUGUCGCGUCUGCUGUGAAAACUCGAGGCUCAACCUCGGGCUUGCAGUGGGUACGGGCAGACUAGAGUGCGGUAGGGGAGACUGGAAUUCCUGGUGUAGCGGUGGAAUGCGCAGAUAUCAGGAGGAACACCGAUGGCGAAGGCAGGUCUCUGGGCCGCAACUGACGCUGAGGAGCGAAAGCAUGGGGAGCGAACAGGAUUAGAUACCCUGGUAGUCCAUGCCGUAAAACGUUNNGGCACUAGGUGUGGGGCUCAUUCCACGAGUUCCGUGCCGCAGCAAACGCAUUAAGUGCCCCGCCUGGGGAGUACGGCCG